GACGAACGCUGGCGGCGUGCUUAACGCAUGCAAGUCGAACGGAAAGGCCCUGCUUGCAGGGUGCUCGAGGGGCGAACGGGGGAUUAACACUUGGGAGAUCUGCCCCUUGUUUUGGGAUACACCUGGGAAACUGUGUCUAGUACUGGAUAAGACCAUGCGACUGGUGUUGUGGUUGAAGGAUUGGGUUCGGUAAGGGAUGAGCUCGCGGCCUUUCAGAUUUUUGGUGGGGUACUGGCCUACCAAGCCGUCGACGGGUAGCCGGCCUGAGAGGGUGGACGGCAACAUUGGGAGUGAGAUAAGGCACAGACUCCUACGGGAGGCAGCGGUGGAGAAUAGAGCACUAUGGGAGGAAGGCUGAUGCAGCGACGCAGCGUGGUGGAUGCGGGGAUGCGGGUUGUAAACUACAUUGCGCCAUGAAGAAGCCAUUGUGGUGACGGUAGUGGUAGAAGAAGCGCCGGCUAACUACGUG
RNAcentral lists this ribosomal RNA (469 nucleotides) under uncultured bacterium. Its description in RNAcentral is "partial 16S ribosomal RNA". It matches the Rfam family "Bacterial small subunit ribosomal RNA", at positions 28 to 507 of the family's 1533-position model. The record is from RNAcentral.